GCAGUCAUGGCCGAGUCGUUAAGGCGUUAGACUAGAAAUUAUAACCCCUAUGGGGUCGCAGGUUCAAAUCCUGCUUACUGCG
RNAcentral lists this transfer RNA (82 nucleotides) under Hofstenia miamia. RNAcentral describes it as "tRNA-Ser for anticodon AGA". It matches the Rfam family "tRNA". Rfam says of the family: Transfer RNA (tRNA) molecules are approximately 80 nucleotides in length. Their secondary structure includes four short double-helical elements and three loops (D, anti-codon, and T loops). The record is from RNAcentral. Lineage: Eukaryota; Metazoa; Xenacoelomorpha; Acoela; Hofsteniidae.